GAUUAAAUGGCUGAAAAAUAGGCAAUAGAUUGUAAAUUUAUUUAUGAAGGUACCCUUCUUUAAUCA
RNAcentral lists this transfer RNA (66 nucleotides) under Pedicia sp. ZK-2016. Its description in RNAcentral is "tRNA-Tyr". It matches the Rfam family "tRNA". Rfam says of the family: Transfer RNA (tRNA) molecules are approximately 80 nucleotides in length. Their secondary structure includes four short double-helical elements and three loops (D, anti-codon, and T loops). Lineage: Eukaryota; Metazoa; Arthropoda; Insecta; Diptera; Pediciidae. The record is from RNAcentral.